UUGAACGCUGGCGGCAGGCCUAACACAUGCAAGUCGAGCGGUAGAGAGAAGCUUGCUUCUCUUGAGAGCGGCGGACGGGUGAGUAAUGCCUAGGAAUCUGCCUGGUAGUGGGGGAUAACGUUCGGAAACGGACGCUAAUACCGCAUACGUCCUACGGGAGAAAGCAGGGGACCUUCGGGCCUUGCGCUAUCAGAUGAGCCUAGGUCGGAUUAGCUAGUUGGUGGGGUAAUGGCUCACCAAGGCGACGAUCCGUAACUGGUCUGAGAGGAUGAUCAGUCACACUGGAACUGAGACACGGUCCAGACUCCUACGGGAGGCAGCAGUGGGGAAUAUUGGACAAUGGGCGAAAGCCUGAUCCAGCCAUGCCGCGUGUGUGAAGAAGGUCUUCGGAUCGUAAAGCACUUUAAGUUGGGAGGAAGGGCAGUAAAUUAAUACUUUGCUGUUUUGACGUUACCGACAGAAUAAGCACCGGCUAACUCUGUG
RNAcentral lists this ribosomal RNA (483 nucleotides) under uncultured bacterium. Its description in RNAcentral is "partial 16S ribosomal RNA". It matches the Rfam family "Bacterial small subunit ribosomal RNA", at positions 30 to 507 of the family's 1533-position model. The record is from RNAcentral.